GACGAACGCUGGCGGCGUGCUUAACACAUGCAAGUCGAACGGAAAGGCCCUGCUUUUGUGGGGUGCUCGAGUGGCGAACGGGUGAGUAACACGUGAGUAACCUGCCCUUGACUUUGGGAUAACUUCAGGAAACUGGGGCUAAUACCGGAUAGGAGCUCCUGCUGCAUGGUGGGGGUUGGAAAGUUUCGGCGGUUGGGGAUGGACUCGCGGCUUAUCAGCUUGUUGGUGGGGUAGUGGCUUACCAAGGCUUUGACGGGUAGCCGGCCUGAGAGGGUGACCGGCCACAUUGGGACUGAGAUACGGCCCAGACUCCUACGGGAGGCAGCAGUGGGGAAUAUUGCACAAUGGGCGGAAGCCUGAUGCAGCAACGCCGCGUGCGGGAUGACGGCCUUCGGGUUGUAAACCGCUUUCGCCUGGGACGAAGCGUGAGUGACGGUAAUGGGUAAAGAAGCACCGGCGAACUACG
This 466-nucleotide ribosomal RNA is filed under the name uncultured bacterium. RNAcentral describes it as "partial 16S ribosomal RNA". It matches the Rfam family "Bacterial small subunit ribosomal RNA", at positions 28 to 505 of the family's 1533-position model. The record is from RNAcentral.